UGCCUUCGGAGGCCAGAACACAGGUGCUGCAUGGCUGUCGUCAGCUCGUGUCGUGAGAUGUUGGGUUAAGUCCCGCAACGAGCGCAACCCUUGUCACUAGUUGCCAUCAUUCAGUUUGGGCACUCUAGCGAGACUGCCGGUAAUAAACCGGAGGAAGUGGGAUGACGUCAAAUCAUCAUGCCCCUUAUGACCUGGGCUACACACGUGCUACAAUGGUUGGUACAACGAGUUGCGAGUCGGUGACGGCGAGCUAAUCUCUUAAAGCCAAUCUCAGUUCGGAUUGUAGGCUGCAACUCGCCUACAUGAAGUCGGAAUCGCUAGUAAUCGCGGAUCAGCACGCCGCGGUGAAUACGUUCCCGGGCCUU
This 365-nucleotide ribosomal RNA is filed under the name uncultured Streptococcus sp. RNAcentral describes it as "bacterial SSU rRNA". It matches the Rfam family "Bacterial small subunit ribosomal RNA", at positions 1014 to 1382 of the family's 1533-position model. Lineage: Bacteria; Bacillati; Bacillota; Bacilli; Lactobacillales; Streptococcaceae. The record is from RNAcentral.